CAUAAGAAAGACUAAGGGUAAGUCGUCGGGCUCAUGCCCCGAAAAAGUGAGUUCAAGUCUCACUCUUAUGA
RNAcentral lists this transfer RNA (71 nucleotides) under Desmophyllum pertusum. Its description in RNAcentral is "transfer RNA-Met". It matches the Rfam family "tRNA". Rfam says of the family: Transfer RNA (tRNA) molecules are approximately 80 nucleotides in length. Lineage: Eukaryota; Metazoa; Cnidaria; Anthozoa; Scleractinia; Caryophylliidae. The record is from RNAcentral. RNAcentral also lists the same sequence under 3 other names.